Long non-coding RNA from Arachis ipaensis, 519 nucleotides. RefSeq lists it as uncharacterized. Lineage: Eukaryota; Viridiplantae; Streptophyta; Magnoliopsida; Fabales; Fabaceae. The record is from RefSeq and is a predicted model, not a curated record.
CGGCUUCAGUGUUUAGCAGCCUUCACUCCAUCUUUUCAUCUGUUCUUUGAAGACUUGUUGCAGGCUUGCAGCCUCUGCAUCGCCAGUGCCAGGACAAUCACCUCGUCGCCGCCGUCAUAACCACCGCUAGGACAACGUUCGAGGAACCCCGUUGCAGAGUCUCCCCUGUUGCUGUCGAGUUCAACCACCUCCUUGUCGUCGUCAUAGCUUCUGUAACCUAGGAAACAAACAGAUAUAUACAAAUAUACAAGAAGAACACGUGCAACAGAAAUUUUAAACAAAUGAUCAAGCAGAAAUAUGAAAUCUUAAGCAAAUGAGGGCAAAUCAGAAAAUGGGGAUUCUGAAAUUUUUAUCCAUAUGAGGCCAAAUCAGUAAACAGAGGAUUCCAGGUUUGUUGAGAGAGAAAUGGCGGACACAAGAGAGACAGCUCCGACAAGGUGGCGAUGGUGGCGACGCAGACCUAGAGGCGCGCAAACCAGAGCCACAACAUGACCCUCGGAGAAUUGCAGACGCGAUUGU